This 537-nucleotide ribosomal RNA is filed under the name Trichophyton rubrum. RNAcentral's name for it is "eukaryotic LSU rRNA". It matches the Rfam family "Eukaryotic large subunit ribosomal RNA", at positions 80 to 628 of the family's 3401-position model. Lineage: Eukaryota; Fungi; Ascomycota; Eurotiomycetes; Onygenales; Arthrodermataceae. The record is from RNAcentral.
CCAGUAACGGCGAGUGAAGCGGCAAGAGCUCAAAUUUGAAAUCUGGCCUCCCCCGGGGGUCCGAGUUGUAAUUUGCAGAGGAUGCUUCGGGCGCGGCCCCCGUCUAAGUUCCUUGGAACAGGACGUCAGAGAGGGUGAGAAUCCCGUCUUGGGCGGGCGGCCCGCGCCCGUGUGAAGCUCCUUCGACGAGUCGAGUUGUUUGGGAAUGCAGCUCUAAGCGGGUGGUAAAUUUCAUCUAAAGCUAAAUACCGGCCGGAGACCGAUAGCGCACAAGUAGAGUGAUCGAAAGGUUAAAAGCACCUUGAAAAGGGAGUUAAACAGCACGUGAAAUUGUUGAAAGGGAAGCGCUUGCGGCCAGACUCGGGGGGCGGGGUUCAGCGGGCGCUCGUCGCCCGUGCACUGCCCGCUCCCCGGGCCAGCAUCAGCUUCGACGGCCGGUCAAAGGCCCCCGGAAUGUGUCGUCUCUAGGGACGUCUUAUAGCCGGGGGUGCAAUGCGGCCCGUCGAGACUGAGGAACGCGCUCCGGCUCGGAUGCUG